GACUUACGGCCGAGUGGUUAAGACGUUGGACUUAGGUUCCAAUGGACGCAAGUCCUCGUGGGUUCGAACCCCAUUCGCGCUACA
Molecule: non-coding RNA, 84 nt
Organism: Parelaphostrongylus tenuis
Lineage: Eukaryota; Metazoa; Nematoda; Chromadorea; Rhabditida; Metastrongylidae
Source: the annotation of a GenBank genome assembly